UCUGAUCAUUCCGUGUCAAUCCACUAUUAUGGCACGGCGUGUUAAAAGGGAGGAAGGGUCAGACCGCAGGACUUGCGGUGCGGUAUUGUGGAGACAUACCGCAAGGUUUCCAUCAAGCCUGAUGGUUACAAGGCGGCUUCUUGCAAAGAUUCAGCCGUCAUAGUCGAAUGUUAUGGCA
RNAcentral lists this non-coding RNA (178 nucleotides) under unclassified sequences. RNAcentral describes it as "malK-I RNA". It matches the Rfam family "malK-I RNA". The record is from RNAcentral.